GACGAACGCUGGCGGCGUGGAUUAGGCAUGCAAGUCGAGCGAGAACCGUAGCAAUACGGGGACAGCGGCGAAAGGGACAGUAAUGUGUAGGUACCUACCUCCGGGUUCGGGAUAGCUGCGGGAAACUGCAGGUAAUACCGAAUAACGUCUCCGGACCAAAGGUGUGAUUCCACCUGGAGAGGGGCCUGCAUCCUAUUAGCUUGUUGGCGGGGUAACGGCCCACCAAGGCGACGAUGGGUAGCGGGUGUGAGAGCACGACCCGCGUCAUUGGGACUGAGACACUGCCCAGACACCUACGGGUGGCUGCAGUCGUGAAUCUUCGGCAAUGGGCGCAAGCCUGGCCGAGCGACGCCGCGUGCGGGAUGAAGGCCUUCGGGUUGUAAACCGCUGUCGUAGAGGAGGAAAUGCAGGGGGGUUCUCCCCUCUGUUUGACCUAUUCUAGGAGGAAGUACGGGCUAAGUUCGUGCCAGCAGCCGCCGUAA
This 482-nucleotide ribosomal RNA is filed under the name uncultured bacterium. RNAcentral describes it as "partial 16S ribosomal RNA". It matches the Rfam family "Bacterial small subunit ribosomal RNA", at positions 28 to 523 of the family's 1533-position model. The record is from RNAcentral.